This 380-nucleotide ribosomal RNA is filed under the name Streptomycetaceae bacterium ACTS36. RNAcentral's name for it is "bacterial SSU rRNA". It matches the Rfam family "Bacterial small subunit ribosomal RNA", at positions 25 to 406 of the family's 1533-position model. The record is from RNAcentral. Lineage: Bacteria; Bacillati; Actinomycetota; Actinomycetes; Kitasatosporales; Streptomycetaceae.
CAGGACGAACGCUGGCGGCGUGCUUAACACAUGCAAGUCGAACGAUGAAGCCCCUUCGGGGGUGGAUUAGUGGCGAACGGGUGAGUAACACGUGGGCAAUCUGCCCUGCACUCUGGGACAAGCCCUGGAAACGGGGUCUAAUACCGGAUACGACACAGGGAGGCAUCUCCUCUGUGUGGAAAGCUCCGGCGGUGCAGGAUGAGCCCGCGGCCUAUCAGCUUGUUGGUGAGGUAACGGCUCACCAAGGCGACGACGGGUAGCCGGCCUGAGAGGGCGACCGGCCACACUGGGACUGAGACACGGCCCAGACUCCUACGGGAGGCAGCAGUGGGGAAUAUUGCACAAUGGGCGCAAGCCUGAUGCAGCGACGCCGCGUGAGG